This 324-nucleotide ribosomal RNA is filed under the name uncultured eukaryote. RNAcentral describes it as "partial 18S ribosomal RNA". It matches the Rfam family "Eukaryotic small subunit ribosomal RNA", at positions 1470 to 1796 of the family's 1831-position model. The record is from RNAcentral.
CCCUUAGAUGUUCUGGGCUGCACGCGCGCUACACUGAUGCGAUCAACAAGUUUUUCCUAUGUCGAUAGACACGGGUAAUCUUUUGAACUCGCAUCGUGAUGGGGAUAGAUUAUUGUAAUUAUUAAUCUUCAACGAGGAAUUCCUAGUAGGUGCAAAUCAUCAGUUUGCAUCGAUUACGUCCCUGCCCUUUGUACACACCGCCCGUCGCUGCUACCGAUUGGUUGAUCUGGUGAAUUAUUCGGACUGCCGGCUGAAGGGGUUUCCUCAUCUGCCAGCGGAAAGUCUUGUUAACCCUAUCAACUGGAGGAAGCAGAAGUCGUAACA